AUGAGAAGACUGAGACCUGGAGUAGAGAUGAAGUAACUUAACUGUGUAAAUCAGGGGCAGGCAAGCAUCUUCUGUCAAGGAGCAGAGAGCAGUUCUCUUGGAAUUAACUGGAUUCACUCAGCAUGGUGUGAGCAUGCGUGUGUGAGUGUGUGCUGAGACAGACUUCAUGAACUCAUAGCACCCCAUGAAAGAUCACCUGUGUGAGGGCAUCAGAUGCAGCAUAUCCACAGAAUUAAUACGGAAUUUUCUUAUUAUCGUAAUUAUUAUUCAGAUAUUUUUGAAGAAACACAGUGAUGACCCAGGCCUGAGGACCUCAACUAGUAUUUUGUUGUUCUUACAUGUCACCAGGAGACUCACGCAAGCAAUCUCACAAAAAGCAAUUCAUGACAAUGGAAACCACCACCAGUUACUGAGAAAGGAUCUCUUGGGUUUUAAAAGAUCGUUUCAAUCUUUGAAGUAUUUCCUUUGUGAGGCCAGUUUGGUGUCCCUUGAAGGACUUUUUAUAAAACAUGAGACUCCCUCCACAUUAGGCAUCUGAAAUCCAACCUUUUUUUUUUUUUAAGUUGCAAAAGACAUUUUUUUGCAGACCAUCUGUUAUUUAGUAACGUGCAAAUUACCAAUAAAUAAUUCCAGAUUCCUUUUUUUGCAAGCAUAGCUAUAAACAAACUGAUCCACAUGCAGAAAUGGAAGUCAUUUUCUCUUUGAAAAUUCAUUAACUUCUGCACGAUUGGAAGAGAUCGGGAGAGAAGCUUCCUGGCAGAUGCUGAUGAGUGUUAUUACUGUACACAAAUAACAACAUGAGGCCAAACAUGGACAUUCUUUGGGAAUCUUCCUCUUGCUUAGCAUUCACUUGAGUGGUCUCACCAUAUGGGGUUUGUAUGUGUGACUAUAAAACCCUUUAAGAUGGAUUUAUGUGUAAUAAUCUCAUUUGUUCUUUUAGCUGGUUAAAACAUUAGCAAACUAUGAUUCUUCUCCUGUGAAACAAUAGAGAAUCACAAUAAAAAUUGCAUUUGACUUU
RNAcentral lists this long non-coding RNA (1018 nucleotides) under Callithrix jacchus (white-tufted-ear marmoset). Its description in RNAcentral is "lncRNA (ENSCJAG00000083635.1)". Lineage: Eukaryota; Metazoa; Chordata; Mammalia; Primates; Cebidae. The record is from RNAcentral.